AUUGAACGCUGGCGGCAGGCCUAACACAUGCAAGUCGAGCGGUAACAGGAAGAAGCUUGCUUCUUUGCUGACGAGUGGCGGACGGGUGAGUAAUGUCUGGGAAACUGCCUGAUGGAGGGGGAUAACUACUGGAAACGGUAGCUAAUACCACAUAAUGUCGCAAGACCAAAGAGGGGGACCUUCGGGCCUCUUGCCAUCGGAUGUGCCCAGAUGGGAUUAGCUAGUAGGUGGGGUAACGGCUCACCUAGGCGACGAUCCCUAGCUGGUCUGAGAGGAUGACCAGCCACACUGGAACUGAGACACGGUCCAGACUCCUACGGGAGGCAGCAGUGGGGAAUAUUGCACAAUGGGCGCAAGCCUGAUGCAGCUAUGCCGCGUGUAUGAAGAAGGCCUUCGGGUUGUAAAGUACUUUCAGCGGGGAGGAAGGGAGUAAAGUUAAUACCUUUGCUCAUUGACGUUACCCGCAGAAGAAGCACCGGCUAACUCCGUG
RNAcentral lists this ribosomal RNA (490 nucleotides) under uncultured bacterium. Its description in RNAcentral is "partial 16S ribosomal RNA". It matches the Rfam family "Bacterial small subunit ribosomal RNA", at positions 30 to 507 of the family's 1533-position model. The record is from RNAcentral.